Long non-coding RNA from Nymphaea colorata (pocket water lily), 2250 nucleotides. RefSeq lists it as uncharacterized. Lineage: Eukaryota; Viridiplantae; Streptophyta; Magnoliopsida; Nymphaeales; Nymphaeaceae. The transcript has 2 exons. The record is from RefSeq and is a predicted model, not a curated record.
GUGUAGCCAACAAAAGAAUCUCUUGCUUUUCUCAGUUUCCAUACCACCAUCAUGGACAAAUGGCGGUAUACUCCGUACACCUGCCGACGAAAGGUAUUCGCCGGAUAAAGAGGAAGGAAUGGUCCUGUAGUCAAACGGUAGUGGGUCAUCAUCACUAUCAUGGGAUUAACGGCGGUACACCGCACACCUGCUGAGCGAAAGCUACUCGAUGACAAAAAAUGAACACUUCGCGCGCCGAUUCUUCUUUCGGUCAUAUCAUUAUCAUCCACCGUACACCUGCUGAGCGAAAGCUACUCGACGGCAAAAAAAUGAACAGUUGUACGCGCGGCAUUCUUUUUUUCUUCCCCUCCUUCUCCUCUUCUUCACCCCACCCCAGCGGACAUGAGAGACAGUUGGUCGGAAAAGGCGAGGGUGACCAAAAAGGUGAGGGUAAGAAGGUGAAAAACGAUAGUUCCAUGUUGUUUUUUAAAGGCUAACGAGGAGAAUGUUCAUAGAAAGAGUUAGGUUGAAGAUUUUUACCAGAGCUUGGUGAUUGUUUUGUGGUUGUUUUGUUAUUCCUUCAUCUUGUUUACUAAUUUACUCCUCAAUUUCUGGAUUGCCUCCUAUCUGUUUUUAUCUCUUUUUCAUUUUUUCUUUUGUCUCCAUUCUUGUCCUUACAAUCAUGUCCUUACAAUCACCAAGCUCUCGCGAAAAUCUUCAACCAACUCUUUGAAGAAGUGUGGCUUUUUCUAUGAACAUCCGUGGCACUGCAUCAGCCUCUGGAAAACAACAUUGAACUCUCAUAUUUCGGCUUUUAGCCCUCGCCGCCUUUGGGUUCUCUUCUGCGUUCUUUUUUGCUUCUCUUUCUUGUUUAUAGACUGUUUUGUGAGCCAUUUUCUAUUCUUGGUGCUAAUUGAAUUAGGCAAUUUGUCGGUUGUGGGCAUGAGAGGAACAGCCAUUAUUGUUUUAGGCAAUACGAGGAAAAUGUUUCUUGCAGAUCAUGCUGUGCGACACAUUCUGUGGAUAGUCACUUGUGUUUAUUUUUUGGUUGCUGAAAUAGUUUUUGCUUAGCAUUUAAGGAGAAAAGAUAUGAAAACAAAGUCAAUAUUCACAUACACAAAACACCGACAUUUAUAGUGUACACAUACGCUGGGGAACCCUCUUUCAUUAUGUUCUUUCAUGGAAACUUUUUUAGUAUUUAUUUAAGGCAGAGAUAAGAAGUGUAAUAAUAGAGAAAUUGGACACAUGAGAAGCAUAUAUUAUAUAUGUAUAUAUUUUCUAGAUAUUUUGAUUAUACAUAUGUUUUUUUUUGUGUGCGUAUUAUGGUUUGUCUGUGGACAGCUCGGCCCCCCCAAGCAAGAAAUCUUGGCUCUGCCCCUGCCUAGAAUAGAGUUUCAGUUCGGUAGGUGUGCUACUAGUUCCAUUCCAGGAGAUUAUAAAGCUUUCUAGUUAUUUCUUCUCAGCAAAUUCCACCGGCGUUUGUGAAGCAUCUGAGAGUUGGUGAAUCUGGAGCAGCCAUUGUCAAAGACCAUUCUGGUAGAUCUUGGAAUAUUAAAUUGUUGAGGGUGGGUGACCGUAUAAUAUUUGAGUAGGGAUGGAAGGAAUUUGUUGAGGAGAAUGGCUUAGACACAAGUUACUUUUUGGCUUUCCGAUAUGAUGGAGAGUUGCAUUUUACAGUCACCAUCUUCGACAGAAGCUCGUGUGAGAAGCUUCAAUGUGUUGAUGAGUCUCCUGCAACUCCCACUGCGGAUUUGAUUGCUGAUGAAGAGCAUUGGCAGUCUGUUGUGAUGUGGACAUGGAAGAAAAAUGCACAAGAACGGAAGCAUGGGAUGCUGCAUCUUCACUAAUGACUAACAUUCAAGAAGAUGGUGACAGAAAGCGACUCAUAUCGUAUGCAUAUUCCAGCUGACGCUCCAAAUGCAAGUUUGCCAAAUAAGACUUGUCAGGUGAAGCUUGAGGAUCCUGAUGAUAGGCAAUGGCCCGUUAAAUUCAUGAUGGGUAUCAACUCCAAGCGAGCUCAUGCAUUGCCUCGUAUGCGAAGAUCAAUGGGUUCUGGGUGGCGCAACUUCUUUGAAGAAAAUUGCCUGAAGAAACGAGAUGUCUGUGUUUUUGAAUUUAUAGCAGGAAAGAACCUAUUCAAUGUCCACAUUUUUCGGGACGGAACAUAAUGAACAUUUGUAUGCAAUUUAAUUGACAGAAUGACGAUCAUAUAUCAGUGGAGCGUUGUCAGUGCUUAUGUUCAAAUGCUAUCUAAAAGACAUUGUUAUUAUC